UAGGGAAUCUUCCACAAUGGACGAAAGUCUGAUGGAGCAACACCGCGUGGUGGAUGAAGCCUCUUGGGGUGUAAACACCUUUUCUGGGGGAAGAAUUAUGACGGUACCCUAGGAAUAAGCACCGGCUAACUCUGUGCCAGCAGCCGCGGUAAUACGGAGGGUGCAAGCGUUAUCCGGAAAUCAUUGGGCGUAAAGCGUCCGCAGGUUGUUUAGUAAGUUAUGUAUGAAAGACGACAGCUCAACUGUUGGAACGUAUGUAAUACUGCUAGACUAGAGUAUUGGAGAGGUAAGCAGAAUUCUGCAUGUAGGGGUAAAAAUCCGUAGAUAUGCAGAGGAAUACCAAAAGCGAA
This 350-nucleotide ribosomal RNA is filed under the name uncultured bacterium. RNAcentral describes it as "bacterial SSU rRNA". It matches the Rfam family "Bacterial small subunit ribosomal RNA", at positions 355 to 719 of the family's 1533-position model. The record is from RNAcentral.